CGGUGUUUAACUGGCGUGAUGUGGGACGUCCUACCGGUGGGCUUAGCCUCGCGAGGGGCGGCCCAACUAAUAUCCCGUCGCGGUGCUCUUUACUGAGUGUCGAGUCGGGCCGGUACGUUUACUUUGAACAAAUUAGAGUGCUUAAAGCAGGCUAUCCUCGCCUGAAUACUGCGUGCAUGGAAUAAUGGAAUAGGACCUCGGUUCUAUUUUGUUGGUUUUCGGAACCCCGAGGUAAUGAUUAAUAGGGACAGAUGGGGGCAUUCGUAUUGCGACGUUAGAGGUGAAAUUCUUGGAUCGUCGCAAGACGGACAGAAGCGAAAGCAUUUGCCAAAAAUGUUUUCAUUAAUCAAGAACGAAAGUUAGAGGUUCGAAGGCGAUCAGAUACCGCCCUAGUUCUAACCAUAAACGAUGCCAGCUAGCGAUCCGCCGAAGUUCCUCCGAUGACUCGGCGGGCAGCUUCCGGGAAACCAAAGCUUUUGGGUUCCGGGGGAAGUAUGGUUGCAAAGCUGAAACCUAAAGGAAUUGACGGAAGGGCACCACCAGGAGUGGAGCCUGCGGCUUAAUUUGACUCAACACGGGAAACCUCACCAGGCCCAGACACCGGAAGGAUUGACAGAUUGAUAGCUCUUUCUUGAUUCGGUGGGUGGUGGUGCAUGGCCGUUCUUAGUUGGUGGAGCGAUUUGUCUGGUUAAUUCCGAUAACGAACGAGACUCUAGCCUGCUAAAUAGGCGUACCUUAUGGUAUCGCGAAGGCCCCCGGCUUCGGCCGGUGGGUUUUUACUACCAACGUACAAACAAAUCUUCUUAGAGGGACAGGCGG
This 819-nucleotide ribosomal RNA is filed under the name uncultured eukaryote. Its description in RNAcentral is "SSU rRNA". It matches the Rfam family "Eukaryotic small subunit ribosomal RNA", at positions 629 to 1426 of the family's 1831-position model. The record is from RNAcentral.